Ricinus communis (castor bean) is the source of this 462-nucleotide long non-coding RNA. RefSeq lists it as uncharacterized. NCBI's taxonomy places the organism in Eukaryota, Viridiplantae, Streptophyta, Magnoliopsida, Malpighiales, Euphorbiaceae. The transcript has 4 exons. The record is from RefSeq and is a predicted model, not a curated record.
UGCAGGUUUUGAUAACAUGGAUUUAGAAUCCUAAUUGCAGGUUUUGAUAACAUGGAUUUAGGAAUUCCAAAGGCUCUAUUCUGAUCAUACCAACAAUACUCUUCUACUGAUUGUUCUGCUCCAGUGCUUUCCACGAUUCUGAGAUCAUCAAAGCCACUGGAAUAGUCAGAAAGACUACUUGGGCUGGGGCUGCCUAUAACCUCAUGCUCUACAUGUUGGCUAAUCAUUUGUCGUUUAUCUAGACUUACAAAGAGUUCUUCUAGCAUUCCAAUAAUCUCAGUGAGCAAACCGGAGAAAGGAGCCUUGUGGUUAUGUUCUUAUGAUGAGGGAGUUACUCUACUACCUUAUGUGUUUCUGUACAAUAAUUUAAGCUAAGCUAAGUUGUAUGUAUUUGUAGGGUUCAACACUUUGAAUGUUUGAGGAAGUAUUAUUUUACAUUGAAAUAUGAUUUUUUUUUCUUAA